This 253-nucleotide ribosomal RNA is filed under the name uncultured bacterium. Its description in RNAcentral is "partial 16S ribosomal RNA". It matches the Rfam family "Bacterial small subunit ribosomal RNA", at positions 524 to 776 of the family's 1533-position model. The record is from RNAcentral.
UACGGGGGGGGCAAGCGUUGUUCGGAAUUACUGGGCGUAAAGGGCUCGUAGGUGGCCAACUAAGUCAGACGUGAAAUCCCUCGGCUUAACCGGGGAACUGCGUCUGAUACUGGAUGGCUUGAGUUUGGGAGAGGGGCGCGGAAUUCCAGGUGUAGCGGUGAAAUGCGUAGAUAUCUGGAGGAACACCGGUGGCGAAGGCGGCGUCCUGGACCAACACUGACGCUGAGGAGCGAAAGCAUGGGGAGCGAACAGG